RNAcentral lists this ribosomal RNA (745 nucleotides) under uncultured organism. RNAcentral describes it as "bacterial SSU rRNA". It matches the Rfam family "Bacterial small subunit ribosomal RNA", at positions 187 to 943 of the family's 1533-position model. The record is from RNAcentral.
UGCAUGGCUUUACAGUCAAAGGUUGACUCCGGUCGGGGAUGAGUUCGCGCCCCAUCAGCUUGUCGGUGAGGUAACGGCUCACCGAGGCGAAGACGGGUAGCUGGUCUGAGAGGAUGGUCAGCCACACUGGGACUGAGACACUGCCCAGACUCCUACGGGAGGCUGCAGUCGAGAAUCAUCCGCAAUGGGCGCAAGCCUGACGGUGCGAUGCCGCGUGAGGGAUGACGGCCUUCGGGUUGUAAACCUCUGUCAGGGGGGACGAAGAAGUGACGGUACCCCCAGAGGAAGCCACGGCUAACUACGUGCCAGCAGCCGCGGUAAUACGUAGGUGGCGAGCGUUAUUCGGAUUUACUGGGCGUAAAGGGUCCGUAGGGGGUCUGCCAAGUCUGGUGUGAAAUCCCGCAGCUCAACUGCGGACGUGCACUGGAAACUGGUGGACUUGAGUCCAUGAAGGGAGAGCGGAAUUCCUGGUGUAGCGGUGGAAUGCGUAGAUAUCAGGAAGAACACCGGCGGCGAAGGCGGCUCUCUGGCAUGGUACUGACCCUGAUGGACGAAAGCGUGGGUAGCGAACAGGAUUAGAUACCCUGGUAGUCCACGCUGUAAACGUUGUGCACUAGAUGUGGGGGGUCCUUUGGUCCCCUCCGUGUCCAAGCUAACGCGAUAAGUGCACCGCCUGGGGACUACGGCCGCAAGGCUAAAACUCAAAGGAAUUGAGCGGGGGCCCGCACAAGCGGUGGAGCAUGUG